UUUCUACUCCCUCCGUUCGAAAAUACUUGUCAUCAAAAUGGAUAAAAAGAGAUGUAUCUAAAACUAAAAUACGUCUAGAUACAUUUCCUUUUAUCCAUUUUGAUGACAAGUAUUUCCGGACGGAGGGAGUAUUUG
This is a non-coding RNA of Triticum aestivum (bread wheat), 135 nucleotides long. The record is from Rfam. NCBI's taxonomy places the organism in Eukaryota, Viridiplantae, Streptophyta, Magnoliopsida, Poales, Poaceae.